GCCCUGGUAGCCCAGCGGUAGAGGCACGGUGCUCAAACCACCGACAGCGUGGGUUCGAAUCCCACCCAGGGCAC
RNAcentral lists this transfer RNA (74 nucleotides) under Streptomyces noursei. Its description in RNAcentral is "tRNA-Leu". It matches the Rfam family "tRNA". From Rfam's summary of the family: Transfer RNA (tRNA) molecules are approximately 80 nucleotides in length. Lineage: Bacteria; Bacillati; Actinomycetota; Actinomycetes; Kitasatosporales; Streptomycetaceae. The record is from RNAcentral.